This 253-nucleotide ribosomal RNA is filed under the name uncultured bacterium. RNAcentral's name for it is "partial 16S ribosomal RNA". It matches the Rfam family "Bacterial small subunit ribosomal RNA", at positions 524 to 776 of the family's 1533-position model. The record is from RNAcentral.
UACAGAGGGUGCAAGCGUUAAUCGGAAUUACUGGGCGUAAAGCGCGCGUAGGUGGAUACUUAAGUCGGAUGUGAAAGCCCUGGGCUUAACCUGGGAACUGCACUCGAUACUGGGUGUCUAGAGUAUAGUAGAGGGAAGUGGAAUUUCCGGUGUAGCGGUGAAAUGCGUAGAUAUCGGAAGGAACACCAGUGGCGAAGGCGGCUUCCUGGACUAAUACUGACACUGAGGCGCGAAAGCGUGGGGAGCAAACAGG